UGGCGGCAGGCCUAAACAUGCAAGUCGAGCGGGAAACAGAGAGCUUGCUCUCGGGUGACGAGCGGCGGACGGGUGAGUAAUGUCUGGGAAACUGCCUGAUGGAGGGGGAUAACUACUGGAAACGGUAGCUAAUACCGCAUAACGUCGCAAGACCAAAGAGGGGGACCUUCGGGCCUCUUGCCAUCAGAUGUGCCCAGAUGGGAUUAGCUAGUAGGUGGGGUAACGGCUCACCUAGGCGACGAUCCCUAGCUGGUCUGAGAGGAUGACCAGCCACACUGGAACUGAGACACGGUCCAGACUCCUACGGGAGGCAGCAGUGGGGAAUAUUGCACAAUGGGCGCAAGCCUGAUGCAGCCAUGCCGCGUGUAUGAAGAAGGCCUUCGGGUUGUAAAGUACUUUCAGCGGGGAGGAAGGUGUUGAGGUUAAUAACCUCAGCAAUUGACGUUACCCGCAGAAGAAGCACCGGCUAACUCCGUGCCARCAGCCGMGRUMAUACKGAGGGUGCAAGCGUUACGGGAAAUUACUGGGGCGUAAAGCACGCAGGCGGUCUGUCAGUCGGAUGUGAAAUCCCCGGGCUCAACCUGGGAACUGCAUUCGAAACUGGCAGGCUAGAGUCUGUAGAGGGGGGGUAGAAUUACCAGGUGUAGCGGUGAAAUGCGUAGAGAUCUGGAGGAAUACCGGUGGCGAAGGCGGCCCCCUGGACAAAGACUGACGCUCAGGUGCGAAAGCGUGGGGAGCAAACAGGAUUAGAUACCCUGGUAGUCCACGCCGUAAACGAUGUCGACUUGGAGGUUGUGCCCUUGAGGCGUGGCUUCCGGAGCUAACGCGUUAAGUCGAACGACUGGGAGUUACGUCCGCAAGGUUAAAACUCAAAUGAAUUGACGGGGGCCCGCACAAGCGGUGGAGCAUGUGGUUUAAUUCGAUGCAACGCGAAGAACCUUACCUACUCUUGACAUCCAGAGAACUUUCCAGAGAUGGAUUGGUGCCUUCGGGAACUCUGAGACAGGUGCUGCAUGGCUGUCGUCAGCUCGUGUUGUGAAAUGUUGGGUUAAGUCCCGCAACGAGCGCAACCCUUAUCCUUUGUUGCCAGCGGUUCGGCCGGGAACUCAAAGGAGACUGCCAGUGAUAAACUGGAGGAAGGUGGGGAUGACGUCAAGUCAUCAUGGCCCUUACGAGUAGGGCUACACACGUGCUACAAUGGCGCAUACAAAGAGAAGCGACCUCGCGAGAGCAAGCGGACCUCAUAAAGUGCGUCGUAGUCCGGAUUGGAGUCUGCAACUCGACUCCAUGAAGUCGGAAUCGCUAGUAAUCGUAGAUCAGAAUGCUACGGUGAAUACGUUCCCGGGCCUUGUACACACCGCCCGUCACACCAUGGGAGUGGGUUGCAAAAGAAGUAGGAGCUUUACUUCGGGAGGGCGCUUACCUAACACAUGCAAGUCGAGCGGUAGCACAGAGAGCUUGCUCUCGGGUGACGAGCGGCGGACGGGUGAGUAAUGUCUGGGAAACUGCCUGAUGGAGGGGGAUAACUACUGGAAACGGUAGCUAAUACCGCAUAACGUCGCAAGACCAAAGAGGGGGACCUUCGGGCCUCUUGCCAUCAGAUGUGCCCAGAUGGGAUUAGCUAGUAGGUGGGGUAACGGCUCACCUAGGCGACGAUCCCUAGCUGGUCUGAGAGGAUGACCAGCCACACUGGAACUGAGACACGGUCCAGACUCCUACGGGAGGCAGCAGUGGGGAAUAUUGCACAAUGGGCGCAAGCCUGAUGCAGCCAUGCCGCGUGUAUGAAGAAGGCCUUCGGGUUGUAAAGUACUUUCAGCGGGGAGGAAGGUGUUAGGUUAAUUUCCUCUUCAAUGACGUUACCCGCAGAAGAAGCACCGGCUAACUCCGUGCCAGCAGCCGCGGUAAUACGGAGGGUGCAAGCGUUAAUCGGAAUUACUGGGCGUAAAGCGCACGCAGGCGGUCUGUCAAGUCGGAUGUGAAAUCCCCGGGCUCAACCUGGGAACUGCAUUCGAAACUGGCAGGCUAGAGUCUUGUAGAGGGGGGUAGAAUUCCAGGUGUAGCGGUGAAAUGCGUAGAGAUCUGGAGGAAUACCGGGGCGAAGGCGGCGCCCUGACAAAGACUGACGCUCAGGUGCGAAAGCGUGGGGAGCAAACAGGAUUAGAUACCCUGGUAGUCCACGCCGUAAACGAUGUCGACUUGGAGGUUGUGCCCUUGAGGCGUGGCUUCCGGAGCUAACGCGUUAAGUCGACCGCCUGGGGAGUACGGCCGCAAGGUUAAAACUCAAAUGAAUUGACGGGGGCCCGCACAAGCGGUGGAGCAUGUGGUUUAAUUCGAUGCAACGCGAAGAACCUUACCUACUCUUACAUCCAGAGAACUUUCCAGAGAGGAUUGGU
Molecule: ribosomal RNA, 2393 nt
Filed under: Enterobacter asburiae
Lineage: Bacteria; Pseudomonadati; Pseudomonadota; Gammaproteobacteria; Enterobacterales; Enterobacteriaceae
Description: bacterial SSU rRNA
Rfam family: Bacterial small subunit ribosomal RNA (bases 1-1465)
Source: RNAcentral